Molecule: small nucleolar RNA, 106 nt
Organism: Salvia splendens (bonfire salvia)
Lineage: Eukaryota; Viridiplantae; Streptophyta; Magnoliopsida; Lamiales; Lamiaceae
Source: RefSeq, a predicted model, not a curated record
AACCCAUGGUUGGGACACCGCUUCAUCAAGGCUUUGAACCUCCCCCAUGCUUCUCUAAUAUUCUCUGCAGGGUUCAGCUGAAAGGCAAUGAUCUCAUGUUGCCUCU